CUGAAGAGACAGGGCCUACUGGGAGGUCUUUCAGUCACUGGGGGCAUCCUCUUGAGAGCAGUGGGACCCUGACACUUCCUCUCUCUCUUUCACACUUAGCCAUGAGGUGCCUGCCAUGAUGCACCAUGCCUCCACAAGUUAAAAGCAGUUGGGGACAUUCAGUUAUGGGUGGAACUCUCUAAAACUGUGAGCUAGAAUAGGUCUUUCUUUUUCAUUAGCUUAUUAUCUCAGGUAUUUUGUGAUAGUAAUGGAAAGCUAACACACUGACUGUCGGGAUCCUUAAUUUCAACGAUGCUGACUACCUGCAGAGAAGUCUCAACUCUUCUCCAUGGAGUUGUGCCCAUACUUGGCCCAGGACUAGGGGAAGUCAAAGGAAGAAAUUCAGUGGAAGCCAGAGAGCUGCCGGUGUUGGGGCUUCUCAAGGACAACAAGGUGGUUAACAGAGUCUACAAAAAGUUCAGACAUGUUUCCCAUCCUCUUGAAGGACAGUAACUGUGUGACACAGUCUGACCAAAGAGAUGCUGCUGGAAGGUUUCUGGAAGAGCUUUUGAUUUCCUGGCAAAAGAAACACAUCCCCAUCCUUUCUCUUUCCUCCAUCUGCGGAUGCAGAUAUGUGAUGCCUAAAGCCACUUGGUGGUCAUGAGACUUCUCUGCUGUCCACCUGCACAUUACAAAAGACCUGUCUGCUCAGAAAUGCACGAUCAUCAUGGUGUUUCAGGCCUGCAGUCCCCUGAACCAAGCAUUCGCAAGGAAACACGAUACCUUGGUUAGUGAACCGAACUUGGUUAAAAGCAUCUUAAUACUUAGAUGACUGUGGGAGCACAGGCAGAUGGU
Chinchilla lanigera (long-tailed chinchilla) is the source of this 834-nucleotide long non-coding RNA. RefSeq lists it as uncharacterized. The transcript is spliced from 3 exons. NCBI's taxonomy places the organism in Eukaryota, Metazoa, Chordata, Mammalia, Rodentia, Chinchillidae. The record is from RefSeq and is a predicted model, not a curated record.